CGUGUAGACGGUUGUCCUAAGUUGGAUGUGAAAGCCUUGAGCUCAACUCAAGAAAUGCAUUCAGGACUGGAUGACUAGAGGACCGGAGAGGAUAGUGGAAUUCCCAGUGUAGUGGUGAAAUACGUAGAGAUUGGGAAGAACACCAGUGGCGAAGGCGGCUAUCUGGACGGUUUCUGACGCUAAGACGCGAAAGCGUGGGGAGCGAAACAGGAUUAGAUACCCUGGUAGUCCACGCCGUAAACGAUGGGUGCUAGACGUUGGCGGGCUUGCUCGUCAGUGUCGCAGCUAACGCGUUAAGCACCCCGCCUGGGGAGUACGGCCGCAAGGUUGAA
Molecule: ribosomal RNA, 332 nt
Filed under: uncultured bacterium
Lineage: Bacteria
Description: bacterial SSU rRNA
Rfam family: Bacterial small subunit ribosomal RNA
Source: RNAcentral